Molecule: long non-coding RNA, 719 nt
Filed under: Nicotiana benthamiana
Lineage: Eukaryota; Viridiplantae; Streptophyta; Magnoliopsida; Solanales; Solanaceae
Description: long non-coding RNA (NBEN_LNC017005)
Source: RNAcentral
UGACUAGCUAACUUUGGCAUUGAAAGUUUGCUAGGCCGGACAGAUCGUCGUGUUUGAGUUACAGUCUCGUCACAUAUAUGUCAUACCAAGUCUGUACUUAUUCUCACAUGGGAGAAGCGGGUAUGUCUCCUAACUUUUUGCCACUUGGUUACUUAUCUGUCCAGUGAGUUUAGAUGGCUGCAUCAUGCCCUUUGUUAACUUUUAUUAGCAGUUGGAUUGAGGUAACUUGCACGCACCUGACUAUUCCAUCAGUUCUUGCUAAGAUCUCACUAUCAACAGUUAGAUCAAGCCGUAGACUUUGGAUAUUAUUUAUAAAAUCGAUCUCCGUAGCUGUACCGAUGCUUAGAUUUCAGAUGAGCUUUGUUGUGUGACAGUAGAGGCCGCUGACUAUCAUGUGGCAAAUGGCAAACAAAGUCUUUAUUUGUAAACGUGCUUACUUCCUCAAGUUUCAAAUUAUGGUCGAUUAUCUCAAUAUGCCUUGGAAUAUUAUGCUGUGCAUAGUACAACUUCUUGGAAAUUUCUCAUAAGACCGUUGGAAUGAGGACCACACUUUAGGCACCUAUCUACUAAGCCCCCUAGUCUAUAUUGUUUAUUACACAAAUCUCAAUGUGUAUAUUUAAGUUUUUAGAUUUCCAUAUUACCCUUGUACUUUUGUCAAUUCUUACAAAUGUUUAAAGGACAAUUUUAUCAAUUUAAUUGGAAAAUAUCAAUUAUCAGUU